This 219-nucleotide ribosomal RNA is filed under the name uncultured bacterium. Its description in RNAcentral is "partial 16S ribosomal RNA". It matches the Rfam family "Bacterial small subunit ribosomal RNA", at positions 15 to 217 of the family's 1533-position model. The record is from RNAcentral.
GAUCAUGGCUCAGGACGAACGCUGGCGGCGUGCUUAACACACGCAAGUCGAACGAGAAUCUGUGGAUCGAGGAUUCGUCCAAGUGAAGCAGAGGACAGUGGCGGACGGGUGAGUAACGCGUGAGGAACCUGCCUUUCAGAGGGGGACAACAGUUGGAAACGACUGCUAAUACCGUAUGAUACAUUUGGGUGGCAUCAUCUGAAUGUCAAAGAUUUAUCG